RNAcentral lists this ribosomal RNA (393 nucleotides) under uncultured bacterium. Its description in RNAcentral is "partial 16S ribosomal RNA". It matches the Rfam family "Bacterial small subunit ribosomal RNA", at positions 523 to 918 of the family's 1533-position model. The record is from RNAcentral.
AUACGGAAGGUCCGGGCGUUAUCCGGAUUUAUUGGGAUUAUAGGGAGCGCAGGCGGAGAUGCAAGCGUGACGUCAAAUUUCGGGGCUCAACCCCGCCUCGCGUCGCGAACUGCGUCCCUUGGUUGCGGGAAGGGGAGGCGGGAAGCGUGGGGUAGCGGAGAAAUGCAUAGAUAUCACGAAGAACUCCGAUCGCGAAGGCAGCCUUCCGGCCCGUCAACGACGCUCAUGCUCGAAGGUGCGGGUAUCAAACAGGAUUAGAUACCCUGGUAGUCCGCACAGUAAACGAUGGACACCCGCGGUUUGGCCUGUAUGGCUGAGCCGCCAAGCGAAAGCGUUAAGUGUCCCACCUGGGGAGUACGCCGGCAACGGUGAAACUCAAAGGAAUUGACGGGG